Molecule: ribosomal RNA, 448 nt
Filed under: uncultured bacterium
Lineage: Bacteria
Description: partial 16S ribosomal RNA
Rfam family: Bacterial small subunit ribosomal RNA
Source: RNAcentral
UCCAGACUCCUACGGGAGGCAGCAGUGGGGGAUAUUGCACAAUGGGGGGAACCCUGAUGCAGCGACGCCGCGUGGGUGAAGGAGCGUUUCGGCGCGUAAAGCCCUAUCGGCAGGGAAGAAGGAGGACGGUACCUGACUAAGAAGCCCCGGCUAACUACGUGCCAGCAGCCGCGGUAAUACGUAGGGGGCAAGCGUUAUCCGGAUUUACUGGGUGUAAAGGGGGCGCAGACGGCAGCGCAAGCCAGGAGUGAAAGCCCGGGGCCCAACCCCGGGACUGCUCUUGGAACUGCGCGGCUGGAGUGCAGGAGGGGCAGGCGGAAUUCCUGGUGUAGCGGUGAAAUGCGUAGAUAUCAGGAGGAACACCGGUGGCGAAGGCGGCCUGCUGGACUGCGACUGACGUUGAGGCCCGAAAGCGUGGGGAGCAAACAGGAUUAGAUACCCUUGUAGU